This 444-nucleotide ribosomal RNA is filed under the name uncultured organism. RNAcentral describes it as "partial 16S ribosomal RNA". It matches the Rfam family "Bacterial small subunit ribosomal RNA", at positions 335 to 796 of the family's 1533-position model. The record is from RNAcentral.
ACUCCUACGGGAGGCAGCAGUGGGGAAUAUUGGACAAUGGGCGCAAGCCUGAUCCAGCCAUGCCGCGUGAGUGAUGAAGGCCCUAGGGUUGUAAAGCUCUUUCACCGGUGAAGAUAAUGACGGUAACCGGAGAAGAAGCCCCGGCUAACUUCGUGCCAGCAGCCGCGGUAAUACGAAGGGGGCUAGCGUUGUUCGGAUUUACUGGGCGUAAAGCGCACGUAGGCGGACUAUUAAGUCAGGGGUGAAAUCCCGGGGCUCAACCCCGGAACUGCCUUUGAUACUGGUAGUCUUGAGUUCGAGAGAGGUGAGUGGAAUUCCGAGUGUAGAGGUGAAAUUCGUAGAUAUUCGGAGGAACACCAGUGGCGAAGGCGGCUCACUGGCUCGAUACUGACGCUGAGGUGCGAAAGCGUGGGGAGCAAACAGGAUUAGAAACCCGUGUAGUCC